GACACUGUGGCAGAAAGGCUAUGCAGUUGGUUGCAACCCAAUUGAUGCAGGUUCGAUUCCUGCCGGUGUCUCCA
RNAcentral lists this transfer RNA (74 nucleotides) under Gammaproteobacteria bacterium. RNAcentral's name for it is "tRNA-Cys". It matches the Rfam family "tRNA". Rfam says of the family: Transfer RNA (tRNA) molecules are approximately 80 nucleotides in length. Their secondary structure includes four short double-helical elements and three loops (D, anti-codon, and T loops). Lineage: Bacteria; Pseudomonadati; Pseudomonadota; Gammaproteobacteria. The record is from RNAcentral.